GAUGAACGUUGGCGGCGUGCCUAAUACAUGCAAGUCGAACGAAGACUGUAGUAAUACUGUCUUAGUGGCGAACGGGUGAGUAAUACAUCGGAACGUGCCCGAUCGUGGGGGAUAACGGAGCGAAAGCUUUGCUAAUACCGCAUACGAUCUACGGAUGAAAGCAGGGGACCGCAAGGCCUUGCGCGGACGGAGCGGCCGAUGGCAGAUUAGGUAGUUGGUGGGAUAAAAGCUUACCAAGCCGACGAUCUGUAGCUGGUCUGAGAGGACGACCAGCCACACUGGGACUGAGACACGGCCCAGACUCCUACGGGAGGCAGCAGUGGGGAAUUUUGGACAAUGGGCGCAAGCCUGAUCCAGCCAUGCCGCGUGCAGGAUGAAGGCCUUCGGGUUGUAAACUGCUUUGUACGGAACGAAAGACUCUUUCUAAUAAAGAGGGUCCAUGACGGUACCGUAAGAAUAAGCACCGGCUAACUACGUGCCAGCAGCCGCGGUAAGCACG
RNAcentral lists this ribosomal RNA (499 nucleotides) under uncultured bacterium. Its description in RNAcentral is "bacterial SSU rRNA". It matches the Rfam family "Bacterial small subunit ribosomal RNA", at positions 28 to 527 of the family's 1533-position model. The record is from RNAcentral.